UACAGAGGUGGCAAGCGUUGUUCGGAAUUACUGGGCGUAAAGGGCGCGUAGGCGGCCUGCUAAGUCAGACGUGAAAUCCCCCGGCUUAACCUGGGAACUGCGUCUGAUACUGGGAGGCUUGAGUAUGGGAGAGGGAUGUAGAAUUCCAGGUGUAGCGGUGAAAUGCGUAGAUAUCUGGAGGAAUACCGGUGGCGAAGGCGGCAUCCUGGACCAUAACUGACGCUGAGGCGCGAAAGCUAGGGGAGCAAACGGG
RNAcentral lists this ribosomal RNA (253 nucleotides) under uncultured bacterium. RNAcentral describes it as "partial 16S ribosomal RNA". It matches the Rfam family "Bacterial small subunit ribosomal RNA", at positions 524 to 776 of the family's 1533-position model. The record is from RNAcentral.